GGAAGAAGCUCAUCUACCCAGACCCAGAUGCCUUAAUGGGGGCAUUUGAAAUUUUGCGGGACAAGCCCCCCAAAGACCACAUGUGCCUAUCGAUUUGCGCCUUCCUCCUGUGUUUUCCCAUAGGCAUUGUAGCCUUGAUCUUCUCUGUCCAGACAAGGCACAGCAACAUGUGGAAUAACAGAGCCUUGGCAGCCGAGACCUCCCACCAAACCUACUACAUUGCAGUCUUGGGGAUUGUUUUAGGAAGCCUCAUCACCCUCACCAUCUUGAUACUCCUCAUGAUGGACUUAUUUGCUCGUUAACCUCCUUUUCAGCAAACUACCAAAUAUAUACAACAGUGAUACUUACCUUGGCUCUAAGUAUCCAUUUGGGCCAAAUGGGAAAACCUUUUCUAAAUGUCUGGACUGCUAAG
This is a long non-coding RNA of Lutra lutra (Eurasian river otter), 412 nucleotides long. RefSeq lists it as uncharacterized. NCBI's taxonomy places the organism in Eukaryota, Metazoa, Chordata, Mammalia, Carnivora, Mustelidae. The transcript is spliced from 3 exons. The record is from RefSeq and is a predicted model, not a curated record.